Molecule: ribosomal RNA, 468 nt
Filed under: uncultured bacterium
Lineage: Bacteria
Description: partial 16S ribosomal RNA
Rfam family: Bacterial small subunit ribosomal RNA
Source: RNAcentral
GACGAACGCUGGCGGCGUGCUUAACACAUGCAAGUCGAACGGAAAGGCCCUGCUUUUGUGGGGUGCUCGAGUGGCGAACGGGUGAGUAACACGUGAGUAACCUGCCCUUGACUUUGGGAUAACUUCAGGAAACUGGGGCUAAUACCGGAUAGGAUCUCCUGCUGCAUGGUGGGGGUUGGAAUGUUUCGGCGGUUGGGGAUGGACUCGCGGCUUAUCAGCUUGUUGGUGGGGUAGUGGCUAACCAAGGCUUUGCGGGGUAGCCGGCCUGAGAGGGUGACCGGCCAAAUUGGGACUGAGAUAAGGCCCAGACUCCUACGGGAGGCAGCAGUGGGGAAGAUUACACAAUGGGCGGAAGCCUGAUGCAGCAAAGCAGCGUGCGGGAUGACGGCCUUCGGGUUGUAAACCGCUGUCGCCUGUGACGAAGCGUGAGUGACGGUAAUGGGUAAAGAAGCACCGGCUAACUACGUG